This 260-nucleotide long non-coding RNA is filed under the name Elaeis guineensis (African oil palm). Its description in RNAcentral is "long non-coding RNA (EGUI_LNC010820)". Lineage: Eukaryota; Viridiplantae; Streptophyta; Magnoliopsida; Arecales; Arecaceae. The record is from RNAcentral.
CUGACCAGCAUUGUUGCUCCUGGUUCGGGAGAAAAGACUGUCGAAGAAACUGUGCCGAUCGAAGAAGCUGCACUGAUAGGUGUAUAAAUUUAUCCAUAGAAAUAUUAAUUUAUGGAUCAAAUUAUCUUUAUUCUUUUAAAAUUGAUACUUUUUCGUAUAUUUUACAGAAAAGAGCUACACCAACAUGAAGAGCCCGAUCUGCAGGCUUAGAGGGAUCAAACGAGACUAAAAAUGGAGUUAAAAUGGAUUUAAAUUCAAAG